GAUUCGUUAACCACUGCGCCACGACGGGAACUCCCCCUUCAGUGAUUUUUACAACCUUGUUAGGUGAGGACAACUCUAUCAGUCAGGAUCUAGCAGGAAAAGGUGACUCACUCAAGGUCACUGAGGAGAGUUUAAUUGAUACAGAUGCAGAGAGGUUCAGGGGAUGGCCCCCUUCCACCUGGAUCCUUCCCAGAUGUCCCCUUUUCUCUAAGUCGUGUCCCAGCCCUCUCCCCUCGCCAUUCCAGUCCAGGUGGCCCAUCUUUGGUCCCUCUAGGGGUGGAGGUGUGGGCUAGGACAGUGGUUCUCAGUCUCAGCUAGCAAUCAACUCAUCUGGGGAACUUUUAAAAUACAUCACUGCCUGGGCCCCACUCCCAGAAGUUCUAAUUUAGUGGGUCUCAGGUAAGGCCUGGGCAUUGGUGCUAUUUAAAGGCUCUCGGGUGACUCUGACAGGCCCAGAGCAAUUAUUUCAGACCCUCAGAGGUGUAGGACCUGGGCACAGGGUGCUUUUUCAAAAUCUCCCCAGUGUGCAGCCAGCGUCAAGAAGCUCUGAUCUGUUUUCUUUCAAAAUCUAUUGUUUGCCAUAAACUUGGGGAUCUGUUCUCAGAUUUUCCUCUAACGUGUAUUUCAGAGGUAAAACAAUAUAAUAAAUGUAAAAACUGGACAUUGAUUCUUUUCACCCUAAUAACACUACUUGAGGUACUAGAAGCAUCUCUGGCCGGAGUCAAGAACGAAGGAACAGAGAAAAGUAACAUCAUGUUCCCAGCAGCGUUCUUCCCAACAGCCAAAACCUUGAAGCGACCCAAGUAUCCAAAGACAGACGAAUGGACAAACAAGAUAUGGUAAAUACAUACAAUGGACUAUUUGCAGCCUUAAAAAGGAAGGGAAUUCUGACACAUGUUACCGCAUGGAUGAACCUCGAGGACAUGAUGCUAAGUGAUAAAGGCUAGUCUCAAAAAGACAGAUACUGUAGGACUCCGCUUACAUAAGGUCCCUAGGGUUGUCAAAAUCACAGGGACAGGACGUAGAAGGCUAUUGACUUCGAUAAAAUAAAUCUAAAGAAGAAAAGGGUGGUUGCCAGGGGCUGAAGAAAGCGGGAUUGGGGAGCUGUUUAACCCUGGGUACAGUUUUGCAGACGAAAAGGGUUUUGGACAUUGGUGACACAGCGACAUGAAUGUAUUUAACACCGUUGAACUGUACACUUAAAAUGGUUAAGCUGGAUAUUUUCUGUGUAUUUUACAAUUUUUUUAAAAAACCUUAAAACAGAAAUAUUUAAUUAGUUUGCUUUGUAUGUUCAUGCACAUUUUAAAAACACAACUCCCCCUCGUCUUCCUCACACCCUAAGCCCCAGGGUUUGCUCUGGAUCCAGGCAGAACAGAUCUUAGCUCCGUUUUUUCCCUUAAUCUGGCCAGGUGGGAAGACACAGCCGGGCCCAGGACUAUAAACUGGAAACGAGAAACAGCUGGGAAAGCUCUUGCUCCUCCUUCGCGUCUUUAGUGAUGCCCAGACAUGGGCUGGGCUGUGUGGGGCUGGGGGGCAGCAAGGACGCCCCUGUGGACCAGAAGCCCCAGGGCAGGCCUGGCAGUGGACGAGCGGCAAAUGGAAGUAAAACUUCUCUGCGAGGGAGGGACCAUAACCACCAAUAUACAAAUGCCAGGGCCUUAUGGGUCGUAUUGGCAUACAGGAUGGCAUCUGCUUUGUUAAAGAUCAGACUCCAAGAAAUGAGCCUUUAUCUCAAGUGUGAGCUUCAGAGGCAUGACAGCCUCAGUGAGCCAGCUCCAGAGACUGUGUGGGCAAACGGCUGAUGAGGGAGUUCGGGGCUAAGGAUGGCCCUGGCUCAUCUUGGAAAAGUCCUCCCUGCUGUCAAAAAUGAUUUGCCACAGCUAUAUAGAGCCUUGCAUAUUAUUUAUAAAGAGGGAUAGAAUAGCAGAGGGAAAUAAUGUAAGAGAAAAAUCAACAGGCCUUAUGGAUUCUGCAACAAGCAUAUUUCAGUAAAGGGAAAAACCUACAGUCUUUAAAUAUCUCAUCUGCAUUAUUUCCUCCUUGGUCCAUUCUCCGUCCACCCGCUCCUCUGGUUAUUGGCAAGGGAGCCCUGGAAAUUCUCUUGAUGUAGCCAGCUAGCAAUUUUUAGCUUAGAACAGGGUGGAACUGGAGCACAUAGAAGAGACCAGGCUAAGACUGCCCCCUCCCAAAGUUACACCAUCUUAUCGCCCUGGUAAACCCCAAAGGCCCACCAGGAAUUGACUCACUGUGCCUCCUUGCACAAUGACAGACCCUGUUCUCCUUGGGAACUUAAUAUCUCUCUCUAUUGAUUCUGUUGGCAAAUUGGGACACUGAAACUAUAUUGCAAACUGGUAUGUUUUCUGCAUUACAUAAUAGAAUCGAUUCAUUCUUUC
Sus scrofa (pig) is the source of this 2393-nucleotide non-coding RNA. The record is from RefSeq and is a predicted model, not a curated record. Lineage: Eukaryota; Metazoa; Chordata; Mammalia; Artiodactyla; Suidae.